ACGGCUGCGCCAAAAUCCAACGGAGCUUCGCUCAGCUCACAGUUUCCUUCGCACCCAACUAGAUCGAUAAGUAAACACGCCCUCCGCACUCUUUCCGAUUUAACUUUCGGUGUUUCCUUGACCCGCACCAUUCGCUGCCUCCGCCAUGGAGUCCAGGAACGAGUUUUUCUGCCCUUCCUAAACUGGAUGCUGUUCGUCGUAGUGGCGGCGCUUAGUUUCUUCCCGAGCAGCGAGUCUCUUCAUGGGCCCAAAGAUGGAUGAGCUGCAGGAAUGGGCCGAGGCGAAGGGGAUGUCCAACGACCAUGCCGAAAAGCUGCAGUAGGGAAUUCGCUCACAAGGGCUGAAAGGACGGUCGGCGCCGUUGCACGCAAGCUCCUCUGCAGGCAAAAACACGAUGAAGCCACUGCUGCAGUCUGGGAGCGACUUUGCUUGUCUUUGAAGAAAGCCAGUGGCAUCGUCCUGCACGUGAAGCAUCACCACCACCACCCCUCUGUUGGGGAGCGCGUGUCGCCACUGACGAGACGCCUCAUUCGCUUGCUCAUGCCGACUUCCAACAACCUCCCCCUCCCCCCCCCGCGCACAG
RNAcentral lists this unclassified non-coding RNA (583 nucleotides) under Leishmania donovani. RNAcentral describes it as "gene:unknown". The record is from RNAcentral. Lineage: Eukaryota; Euglenozoa; Kinetoplastea; Trypanosomatida; Trypanosomatidae.